UACAGAGGUCUCAACCGUUGUUCGGAUUCAUUGGGCGUAAAGGGCUCGUAGGCGGUCUGUUGCGUCGGGAGUGAAAACUUACAGCUUAACUGUGAGCGUGCUUUCGAUACGGGCAGACUUGAGGCAUUCAGGGGAGAACGGAAUUCCUGGUGUAGCGGUGAAAUGCGCAGAUAUCAGGAGGAACACCGGUGGCGAAGGCGGGUCUCUGGGCAGUAACCGACGCUGAGGAGCGAAAGCGUGGGGAGCGAACAGG
This 253-nucleotide ribosomal RNA is filed under the name uncultured bacterium. RNAcentral describes it as "partial 16S ribosomal RNA". It matches the Rfam family "Bacterial small subunit ribosomal RNA", at positions 524 to 776 of the family's 1533-position model. The record is from RNAcentral.